CCCUUGUAUUAAAAUAAAUAAAUUAAAAUUAAUAUAUAAUGAAAUUUAAUAAUUUUUGGCGGUUGAUUGCUAAUUAGAGGAGCUUGUAUUAUUAAUAGAAUUAGCUCUUUAUAUUUAAAAAAUAAAUAAUAUAUUCAUCUCCGUUAUAAAAUGUUAAAUUGAAUUAUAAAUUUUGUUAUUAAAUUUCAGGUCAAGAUGUAGUAUUUAUUAGGGGAUAUUAGCUACAGUUAUACAAUGUAUGGUUUAUAAAAAAGAAUUUUAAUAAUAAAUUGAAUUUAAUUGUAAUUAUGAUUAAAAUAUUAUAGUGAAUGGGAGUGAUUAAUGUACAUAUUGCCCGUCACUUUCUACUAACG
Molecule: ribosomal RNA, 353 nt
Filed under: Mischonyx processigerus
Lineage: Eukaryota; Metazoa; Arthropoda; Arachnida; Opiliones; Gonyleptidae
Description: partial small subunit ribosomal RNA
Source: RNAcentral